AUGAGAGUUUGCGGCCUAUCAGCUAGUUGUCGAGGUAACGGCUCACCAAGGCUAAGACCUGGGUAGCUGAUCUGAGAGGAUGAUCAGCCACACUGGAAGUGAGACACGGUCCAGACACCUACGGGUGGCAGCAGUUUCGAUCAUUCACAAUGGGCGAAAGCCUGAUGUGCGACGCCGCGUGGGGAUGAAGGUCUUCGGAUUGUAAACCUCUGUCACUUAGGGAGAAAACGCUUUGAGUUAACAGUUCAAAGCCUGAUUUAACCUGGAGACCAAGCAGUGGCUAACUCUGUGCCAGCAGCCGCGGUAAUACAGAGACUCAAGCGUUAUUCGGAUUCACUGGGCGUAAAGGGUGCGCAGGCGGCCGUGUGUGUAAGGUGUGAAAUCCCGGGGCUCAACCCGGAACUGCGCCUUAAACUACAUGGCUAGAGUAUUGGAGAGGGUAGUGGAAUUCACGGUGUAGCAGUGAAAUGCGUAGAUAUCGUGAGGAACACCAGAGGCGAAGGCGACUACCUGGACAAUUACUGACGCUCAGGCACGAAAA
This 541-nucleotide ribosomal RNA is filed under the name uncultured bacterium. Its description in RNAcentral is "bacterial SSU rRNA". It matches the Rfam family "Bacterial small subunit ribosomal RNA", at positions 223 to 759 of the family's 1533-position model. The record is from RNAcentral.